GAUGAAGAACGUAGCGAAAUGCGAUAAGUAAUGUGAAUUGCAGAAUUCAGUGAAUCAUCGGAUCUUUGAACGCACAUUGCGCCCGCCAGUAUUCUGGCGGGCAUGCCUGUUCGAGCGUCAUUUCAACCAUCAAGCCCUGCUUGCGUUGGGGUCCUGCGGCUGCCCGCAGGCCCUGAAAACCAGUGGCGGGCUCGCUAGUCACACCGAGCGCAGUAAUACAUCUCGCUUUGGGCGUGCGGCGGGUUCUUGCCGUUAAACACCCCCUUUUUACCAAGGUUGACCUCGGAUCAGGUAGGAAUACCCGCUGAACUUAAGCAUAUCAAUAAGCGGAGGA
RNAcentral lists this unclassified non-coding RNA (334 nucleotides) under soil metagenome. RNAcentral's name for it is "partial contains 5.8S ribosomal RNA, internal transcribed spacer 2, and large subunit ribosomal RNA". The stretch from base 1 to 120 matches the Rfam family "5.8S ribosomal RNA", at positions 35 to 154 of the family's 154-position model. The record is from RNAcentral.